Molecule: non-coding RNA, 96 nt
Filed under: Staphylococcus massiliensis
Lineage: Bacteria; Bacillati; Bacillota; Bacilli; Caryophanales; Staphylococcaceae
Also listed under: 1 other name
Description: SAM-I sequence
Rfam family: SAM riboswitch aptamer (S box leader)
About the family: The SAM riboswitch is found upstream of a number of genes which code for proteins involved in methionine or cysteine biosynthesis in Gram-positive bacteria. The SAM riboswitch acts at the level of transcription termination control.
Source: RNAcentral
AUCUUAUCAAGAGAAGUGGAGGGACUGGCCCUACGAAACUUCGGCAACAUGGUGAUGCGUGUGCCAAUUCCAGAAGCAAUAUGCUGAAGAUAAGAA